This 465-nucleotide ribosomal RNA is filed under the name uncultured bacterium. RNAcentral's name for it is "partial 16S ribosomal RNA". It matches the Rfam family "Bacterial small subunit ribosomal RNA", at positions 28 to 507 of the family's 1533-position model. The record is from RNAcentral.
GACGAACGCUGGCGGCGUGCUUAACACAUGCAAGUCGAACGGAAAGGCCCCUUUGGGGGUACUCGAGUGGCGAACGGGUGAGUAACACGUGAGUAACCUGCCCUUGACUUCGGGAUAACUUCAGGAAACUGGGGCUAAUACCGGAUAGGAAUCCUUGCUGCAUGGUGGGGGUUGGAAAGCUUCGGCGGUUUUGGAUGGACUCGCGGCUUAUCAGCUUGUUGGUGGGGUAGUGGCUUACCAAGGCUUUGACGGGUAGCCGGCCUGAGAGGGCGACCGGCCACAUUGGGACUGGGAUACGGCCCAGACUCCUACGGGAGGCAGCAGUGGGGAAUAUUGCACAAUGGGCGGAAGCCUGAUGCAGCAACGCCGCGUGCGGGAUGACGGCCUUCUGGUUGUAAACCGCUUUCAGCAGGGGCGAAGCUUGUGGUGACGGUACCUGCAGAAGAAGCACCGGCUAACUACGUG